CUCUCUGUAGCUCAGUUGGCAGAGCGGGGGACUGUAGAUGGUUUUAGAUUAGCAGUGAUCCCUAGGUCCCAGGUUCGAAUCCUGGCGGAGAGA
This 93-nucleotide transfer RNA is filed under the name Nucleocytoviricota sp. RNAcentral describes it as "tRNA-Tyr". It matches the Rfam family "tRNA". Rfam says of the family: Transfer RNA (tRNA) molecules are approximately 80 nucleotides in length. Their secondary structure includes four short double-helical elements and three loops (D, anti-codon, and T loops). Lineage: Varidnaviria; Bamfordvirae; Nucleocytoviricota. The record is from RNAcentral.